This 420-nucleotide ribosomal RNA is filed under the name uncultured bacterium. RNAcentral's name for it is "bacterial SSU rRNA". It matches the Rfam family "Bacterial small subunit ribosomal RNA", at positions 356 to 773 of the family's 1533-position model. The record is from RNAcentral.
GAGGAAUAUUGGUCAAUGGACGCAAGUCUGAACCAGCCACGUCGCGUGAAGGAAGACGGCCCUACGGGUUGUAAACUUCUUUUGCAAGGGAAUAAAGUGGGCCACGUGUGGCCUUUUGCAAGUACCUUGCGAAUAAGGAUCGGCUAACUCCGUGCCAGCAGCCGCGGUAAUACGGAGGAUCCGAGCGUUAUCCGGAUUUAUUGGGUUUAAAGGGUGCUCAGGCGGGAUGUUAAGUCGGCGGUGAAAUUUUGCGGCUCAACCGUAAAAGUGCCUUCGAAACUGGCAGCCUUGAGUGUGGAUGAGGUAGGCGGAAUUUGUGGUGUAGCGGUGAAAUGCAUAGAUAUCACGAGGAACUCCGAUUGCGCAGGCAGCUUACCAAGCCAUAACUGACGCUCAAGCACGAAGGCGUGGGGAUCAAAC